This 497-nucleotide ribosomal RNA is filed under the name uncultured bacterium. RNAcentral's name for it is "partial 16S ribosomal RNA". It matches the Rfam family "Bacterial small subunit ribosomal RNA", at positions 28 to 507 of the family's 1533-position model. The record is from RNAcentral.
GACGAACGCUGGCGGCGUGCCUAAUACAUGCAAGUAGAACGCUGAAGAGAGGAGCUUGCUCUUCUUGGAUGAGUUGCGAACGGGUGAGUAACGCGUAGGUAACCUGCCUUGUAGCGGGGGAUAACUAUUGGAAACGAUAGCUAAUACCGCAUAACAAUGGAUGACACAUGUCAUUUAUUUGAAAGGGGCAAUUGCUCCACUACAAGAUGGACCUGCGUUGUAUUAGCUAGUAGGUGAGGUAAUGGCUCACCUAGGCGACGAUACAUAGCCGACCUGAGAGGGUGAUCGGCCACACUGGGACUGAGACACGGCCCAGACUCCUACGGGAGGCAGCAGUAGGGAAUCUUCGGCAAUGGGGGCAACCCUGACCGAGCAACGCCGCGUGGGUGAAGAAGGGUUUCGGAUCGUAAAGCUCUGUUGUAAGUCAAGAACGGGUGUGAGAGUGGAAAGUUCACACUGUGACGGUAGCUUACCAGAAAGGGACGGCUAACUACGUG